Molecule: non-coding RNA, 32 nt
Filed under: Homo sapiens (human)
Lineage: Eukaryota; Metazoa; Chordata; Mammalia; Primates; Hominidae
Source: RNAcentral
UGAGCUGCUGCAGCACUCCAGGUAUGGAGGGA